Molecule: ribosomal RNA, 246 nt
Filed under: uncultured Lactobacillus sp.
Lineage: Bacteria; Bacillati; Bacillota; Bacilli; Lactobacillales; Lactobacillaceae
Description: partial 16S ribosomal RNA
Rfam family: Bacterial small subunit ribosomal RNA
Source: RNAcentral
CGUGGGUAACCUGCCCAAGAGAUCGGGAUAACACCUGGAAACAGAUGCUAAUACCGGAUAACAACAGAUGAUGCCUAUCAACUGUUUAAAAGAUGGUUCUGCUAUCACUCUUGGAUGGACCUGCGGUGCAUUAGCUAGUUGGUAGGGUAACGGCCUACCAAGGCGAUGAUGCAUAGCCGAGUUGAGAGACUGAUCGGCCACAUUGGGACUGAGACACGGCCCAAACUCCUACGGGAGGCAGCAGAC